AUGGCAUGUCACCGAUCUGCGACUGCUAGCAGCAAAUAUCUCCAAUGGCUGGUGAUGGGACACUACAUGGGGAGGGCUCUGUGUUACUACAGAGAAUUCUUUCCCAAGUGUCUGGCUGCUGGGUCUUGCCCAUAUGCUCAGGGUCUAACUGAUCACCAUAUUUCAGGUCGGGAAGGAAUUUCCCCCCAGGUCAGAUUGGCAGAGACCCUGGCGGGUUUUUGCCUUCCUCUGCAGCAUGGGGUCACUUGCAGGUUUAAACCAGUGUAAAUGGUGGAUUCUCUGUAACUUGAAGUCUUUAAAUCAUGAUUUGAGGUCUUCAGUAAUAAAGCCAGAGAUUAGGGGUCUAUUACAGAAGUGUAUGGGUGAGGUUCUGUGGCCUGCAAUGUGCAGGAGGUCAGACUAUAUGAUCAUGGUGGUCCCUUCUGACCUUAAAGUCUAUGAGCAAACAAUAUUUUCCCUAUUUUACAUUAGGUUCCAUAUUUUUAAAUUGUCCUACAGUAAUGGCUUUAAUAUGUAAUUAUCCGCUGAUUACUGGUAUUUGGUAUAUUGUUAAUCUUGGUACCUAGUUACUUACUGGAAGCAAUAUCAAAAUCUUGAAUUGAUUACAAAAAGAGAUGAGUGAUUUUUUUAUAGUUGACAAAUUAACAAAUGACAAUAACUAUAUAUGUUUAGACACCCUACUAGCGUAUUUGUGAAUGGCUACAAUACAGAAAUUCAGAACAGCCAGGAAACAAGACACUUGUGGGUGGGCUACCUUAUUUCCAAGGGAGAUAAAAACACAUCAGCAAUCUCUAGUUAUGGUGAAGAGAAUAAUGGCUGUUGCAGUAUCAGGUAUUACUUACUUACGUGGAAUUUUCCCUGAAGAUGCAUACAGCACCCAUUAUUUAGAAGAUCUCUGUGUUAAAGUUUUGCGAGAAGACAGCAUCUAUCCAAGAGUAUCCAAAAUUGUUAAAUGGAUGAAAGGAUGCUUUGAGGCAUUAGAAAAAAAAUAUCUGCAAAUGAUGAUUCUUGGAGUACAGAAGGACGCAGCUAACCCAAAUAACAUGAUAGAAUCUUAUCAAUUUAAGUUCAGAUAUACAUCGAAGGGACCACAGAUGGAUGUAUUCAGCAAUAAGAAAACUAAUUUAACAAAUGAUGCAACAGAAGACAUAAAGAGGACCUGUCUUCUUCUAAUUCAUAACCUCUAUUUUCUGAUGGAAAAUAUCAUUUCUCUUCCUAAUGAUGUCUCUCUCACUAUGAAGCUAUUUUAUUAUGCAGAUGAGGCAGGACACUUUAGUAGAAUACAUUAAUACAGACUAUGAACCACCAGGAUCUGAAGAGGAAUUUGUUGAUAAAUACCACAAGGUCAAGGAUGAAGCUACAAAAAAGAGGAAGAUAUCAAAGAAGAAUAAAUAAGGAAUUUAUGCAUGUGCAAGUACUUCAAAUUCAGUUAAGCCCACAAGAAGUAUUUUGGUUGCUUGAAAUAUACUGAAGAGAUUUUUAUUUUCAAACUGAAGAAGGAAUUUAGUUCAAGCAGCUGUUUUUAAAUCUUUUAAGUCUCCAAUUCUAAUAUACUCAGACUGUUUUUAAAGGGGAAAAGUAACUUAUUGUAUUGAACAUUUUAUAAAUAAAAGGUGUUAUGAAAA
RNA transcript from Malaclemys terrapin pileata, 1625 nucleotides. It is a transcript of the gene named HORMA domain-containing protein 1-like, with no coding region annotated. The transcript is spliced from 11 exons. The record is from RefSeq and is a predicted model, not a curated record. NCBI's taxonomy places the organism in Eukaryota, Metazoa, Chordata, Testudines, Emydidae.